This 116-nucleotide ribosomal RNA is filed under the name Spirodela intermedia. The record is from RNAcentral. Lineage: Eukaryota; Viridiplantae; Streptophyta; Magnoliopsida; Alismatales; Araceae.
CCCCCCUUACCGGGAGAGUUGCCACCGGAUCCCAUAAGAACUCCGGAGUUAAGCGUGCUCGGGUGGGAGCAGUCCCCGGAUGGGUGACCUCCCUGGGAAGUCCCUGGUACGUGUGC